This 87-nucleotide transfer RNA is filed under the name Dehalococcoidales bacterium. Its description in RNAcentral is "tRNA-Leu". It matches the Rfam family "tRNA". Rfam says of the family: Transfer RNA (tRNA) molecules are approximately 80 nucleotides in length. Their secondary structure includes four short double-helical elements and three loops (D, anti-codon, and T loops). Further hydrogen bonds mediate the characteristic L-shaped molecular structure. tRNAs have two regions of fundamental functional importance: the anti-codon, which is responsible for specific mRNA codon recognition, and the 3' end, to which the tRNAs corresponding amino acid is attached (by aminoacyl-tRNA synthetases). tRNAs cope with the degeneracy of the genetic code in two manners: having more than one tRNA (with a specific anti-codon) for a particular amino acid; and 'wobble' base-pairing, i.e. permitting non-standard base-pairing at the 3rd anti-codon position. The record is from RNAcentral. Lineage: Bacteria; Bacillati; Chloroflexota; Dehalococcoidia; Dehalococcoidales.
GCCGAGGUGGCGGAAUUGGUAGACGCGCUAGCUUGAGGGGCUAGUGAGCGCAAGCUCGUGGGGGUUCAAAUCCCCCCUUCGGCACCA